Molecule: ribosomal RNA, 394 nt
Filed under: uncultured bacterium
Lineage: Bacteria
Description: partial 16S ribosomal RNA
Rfam family: Bacterial small subunit ribosomal RNA
Source: RNAcentral
CCUACGGGAGGCUGCAGUGAGGAAUAUUGGUCAAUGGUCGCGAGACUGAACCAGCCAAGUCGCGUGAAGGAGGACGGCCCUACGUGUUGUAAACCUCUUUUAUCAGGGAAUAAAGUGAGGCACGUGUGCCUGUUUGUGUGUACUUUAUGAAUAAGGAUCGGCUAACUCCGUGCCAGCAGCCGCGGUAAUACGGAGGAUUCGAGCGUUAUCCGGAUUUAUUGGGUUUAAAGGGUGCGUAGAUGGGUUGUUAAGUCAGGUGUGAAAGUUUGCGGCUCAACCGUAACAUUGCAGUUGAUACUGGCAGUCUUGAGUACAGUUGAGGUAUGCGGAAUGCGUGGUGUAGCGGUGAAAUGCUUAGAUAUCACGCAGAACUCCGAUUGCGAAGGCAGCAUAC